RNAcentral lists this ribosomal RNA (343 nucleotides) under uncultured bacterium. Its description in RNAcentral is "bacterial SSU rRNA". It matches the Rfam family "Bacterial small subunit ribosomal RNA", at positions 28 to 361 of the family's 1533-position model. The record is from RNAcentral.
GAUGAACGCUAGCGGCGGGCCUAAUACAUGCAAGUUGAACGGGAUUGUUGGUAGCAAUAUUGACAUGAGAGUGGCGCACGGGUGCGUAACACGUAUGUAACCUACCUUUAACUGGGGCAUAGCUUCGAGAAAUCGAAAUUAAUACCCCAUAACAUUUAGAAAAGGCAUCUUUUCUUUAUCAAAGCUCAGGCGGUUAAGGAUGGACAUGCGGUGCAUUAGCUUGUUGGUGAGGUAACGGCUCACCAAGGACGUACGAUGCAUAGGGGGUCGGUGAGAGGAGUGAUCCCCCACCACUGGUACUGAGACACGGACCAGACUCCUACGGGAGGGCAGCAGUAGGGAA